RNAcentral lists this ribosomal RNA (254 nucleotides) under uncultured bacterium. RNAcentral's name for it is "partial 16S ribosomal RNA". It matches the Rfam family "Bacterial small subunit ribosomal RNA", at positions 524 to 776 of the family's 1533-position model. The record is from RNAcentral.
UACGAAGGGGGCUAGCGUUGCUCGGAAUCACUGGGCGUAAAGCGCACGUAGGCGGACUCUUAAGUCGGGGGUGAAAUCCUGGAGCUCAACUCCAGAACUGCCUUCGAUACUGGGAGUCUUCGAGUUCGGGAGUGGUGAGUGGAACUGCGAGUGUAGAGGUGAAAUUCGUAGAUAUUCGCAAGAACACCAGUGGCGAAGGCGGCUCACUGGCCCGAUACUGACGCUGAGGUGCGAAAGCGUGGGGAGCAAACAGG